CGGGGCGUAGCGCAGCCUGGCUGGCGCGCGUGGUGCGGGACCACAAGGUCGUGGGUUCAAGUCCCGCCGCCCCGACCA
Molecule: transfer RNA, 78 nt
Filed under: Planctomycetota bacterium
Lineage: Bacteria; Pseudomonadati; Planctomycetota
Description: Planctomycetes bacterium (freshwater metagenome) tRNA-Pro
Rfam family: tRNA
About the family: Transfer RNA (tRNA) molecules are approximately 80 nucleotides in length.
Source: RNAcentral